AAUGAACGCUGGCGGCGUGCUUUACACAUGCAAGUUGAGCGAGGCCACCCGCAAGGGUGAGUCGAGCGGCGAACGGGUGAGUAACGCGUGGAUGACCUGCCCUUUAGUGGGGAAUAACCCGGGGAAACUCGGGCUAAUACCGCAUAAGACCGAGAGGUGAAAGCGGGGUCGCAAGAUCUCGUGCUAAUGGAGGGGUCCGCGUUCGAUUAGCUAGUUGGUAGGGUAAUGGCCUACCAAGGCGACGANCGAUAGCCGGCCUGAGAGGGUGAUCGGCCACACUGGAACUGAGACACGGUCCAGACUCCUACGGGAGGCAGCAGUGGGGAAUUUUGCGCAAUGGGCUAACGCCUGACGCAGCAACGCCGCGUGGA
RNAcentral lists this ribosomal RNA (371 nucleotides) under uncultured bacterium. Its description in RNAcentral is "bacterial SSU rRNA". It matches the Rfam family "Bacterial small subunit ribosomal RNA", at positions 29 to 405 of the family's 1533-position model. The record is from RNAcentral.